GGGUUCCCUUGCCCCCACUCUUGCAAUCUUCAAGACGGUACCUCAGUCUGCAGCGAGCCCCCGCCUCGAACCCAGCCGCUCCGCCAGCUCUCACGUCCAUAUGGAGGCUUGUUCGGAUGGCACGAGCUGAUGUCGGAAUCCCCGGCAGGCCGCCUUUCAUGAGGAUGACAUUCCAGGGAGCAGUGGUGGAAGCGUAAUUUUAUGUUGAAGCCUUGGCUGAAAUGGGAGUCGGCGUGGAGAGAUUCGAGCAUCUUUUCCCAAACUUCGGAGAACUAACCGGCUGAAAUCGAAUAACCUCCAGACUCGAUCAAAUUCAACCUUCCUAACAAGAAAGCACGUAGAACUACGAAAAAGAUCAGAGAGAUGCAGGGUGGCAGGCAAACAACAUCAAAAAGAAAAUCAAACGGACAAAUUGGACGAAUGGAAAUUUGAAUUCUACAGGAGGAAAUACGACGUACGACUGCAUAAACAAAGCGUGGGCGAUGAGAGCAUUGGCCGUGAUCUCCCGUGAGAUUCAGAAUCCCAAAUAUGGUCUUGUAAAGGUUACACGAGGUAUCAGGACCAAAUCUGGGUCGUCGUUUCUAUGAAUGCCCGUUGAACCGAUUUUUCUUUAUUUUUGCCAUUUGUAAAAUAAAAUACUCGAGAUGCCGUUUCUUUCCUCAUUUUA
Molecule: long non-coding RNA, 667 nt
Organism: Cimex lectularius (bed bug)
Lineage: Eukaryota; Metazoa; Arthropoda; Insecta; Hemiptera; Cimicidae
Exons: 5
Source: RefSeq, a predicted model, not a curated record